GAUGAACGCUGGCGGCGUGCUUAACACAUGCAAGUCGAACGAUGAAGCCCAGCUUGCUGGAUGGAUUAGUGGCGAACGGGUGAGUAACACGUGAGUAACCUGCCCUUAACUCUGGGAUAAGCCUGGGAAACUGGGUCUAAUACCGGAUAGGAGCGUCCACCGCAUGGUGGGUGUUGGAAAGAUUUAUCGGUUUUGGAUGGACUCGCGGCCUAUCAGCUUGUUGGUGAGGUAAUGGCUCACCAAGGCGACGACGGGUAGCCGGCCUGAGAGGGUGACCGGCCACACUGGGACUGAGACACGGCCCAGACUCCUACGGGAGGCAGCAGUGGGGAAUAUUGCACAAUGGGCGCAAGCCUGAUGCAGCGACGCCGCGUGAGGGAUGACGGCCUUCGGGUUGUAAACCUCUUUCAGUAGGGAAGAAGCGAAAGUGACGGUACCUGCAGAAGAAGCACCGGCUAACUACGUG
RNAcentral lists this ribosomal RNA (466 nucleotides) under uncultured bacterium. RNAcentral's name for it is "partial 16S ribosomal RNA". It matches the Rfam family "Bacterial small subunit ribosomal RNA", at positions 28 to 507 of the family's 1533-position model. The record is from RNAcentral.